GACGAACGCUGGCGGCGUGCCUAAUACAUGCAAGUCGAGCGGAGUUAGAGAAGCUUGCUUCUCUAACUUAGCGGCGGACGGGUGAGUAACACGUGGGCAGUCUGCCCGUAAGACUGGGAUAACUCCGGGAAACCGGGGCUAAUACCGGAUAAUCCUGACUCUCUCCUGAGAGUCAGUUGAAAGAUGGUUUCGGCUAUCACUUACGGAUGAGCCCGCGGCGCAUUAGCUAGUUGGUAGGGUAAUGGCCUACCAAGGCGACGAUGCGUAGUCGACCUGAGAGGGUGAUCGGCCACACUGGGACUGAGACACGGCCCAGACUCCUACGGGAGGCAGCAGUAGGGAAUCUUCCGCAAUGGACGAAAGUCUGACGGAGCAACGCCGCGUGAGUGAAGAAGGUUUUCGGAUCGUAAAACUCUGUUGUUAGGGAAGAACACGUACGAGAGUAACUGCUCGUACCUUGACGGUACCUAACCAGAAAGCCACGGCUAACUACGUG
RNAcentral lists this ribosomal RNA (496 nucleotides) under uncultured bacterium. RNAcentral's name for it is "bacterial SSU rRNA". It matches the Rfam family "Bacterial small subunit ribosomal RNA", at positions 28 to 507 of the family's 1533-position model. The record is from RNAcentral.